This 253-nucleotide ribosomal RNA is filed under the name uncultured bacterium. RNAcentral describes it as "partial 16S ribosomal RNA". It matches the Rfam family "Bacterial small subunit ribosomal RNA", at positions 524 to 776 of the family's 1533-position model. The record is from RNAcentral.
UACGUAGGCAGCAAGCGUUGUUCGGAAUUACUGGGCGUAAAGAGUGUGUAGGCGGUGCUCUAAGUCUGUUGUGAAAUCUCCCGGCUUAACUGGGAGGGUGCAGCGGAAACUGGAAUGCUCGAGCAUGGGAGAGGUAAGCGGAAUUCCUGGUGUAGCGGUGAAAUGCGUAGAUAUCAGGAGGAACACCUGUGGUGUAGACAGCUUACUGGACCAUCACUGACGCUGAGACACGAAAGCGUGGGUAGCAAACAGG